This 262-nucleotide ribosomal RNA is filed under the name uncultured prokaryote. RNAcentral's name for it is "partial 16S ribosomal RNA". It matches the Rfam family "Bacterial small subunit ribosomal RNA", at positions 524 to 785 of the family's 1533-position model. The record is from RNAcentral.
UACGGAGGAUCCGAGCGUUAUCCGGAUUUAUUGGGUUUAAAGGGUGCGCAGGCGGAAGAUUAAGUCGGCGGUGAAAUUUUGCAGCUCAACUGUAAAAGUGCCAUCGAUACUGGUUUUCUUGAGUGUGGAUGAAGUAGGCGGAAUUUGUGGUGUAGCGGUGAAAUGCAUAGAUAUCACGAGGAACCUCGAUUGCGCAGGCAGCUUACUAGGCCAUAACUGACGCUCAGGCACGAAGGCGUGGGGAUCAAACAGGAUUAGACUA